AACGCGAAGAACCUUACCUGGGCUUGAACUACUGGUAGUAAGCUUUUGGAAACAUUAGCUGAUCCGCAAGGGCUGCUAUGUAGGUGCUGCAUGGCUGUCGUCAGCUCGUGCCGUGAGGUGUUGGGUUAAGUCCCGCAACGAGCGCAACCCUUAUCAUUAGUUGCCAACACGCAAGGUGGGGACUCUAGUGAGACUGCCCAGGUUAACUGGGAGGAAGGUGAGGAUGACGUCAAGUCCGCAUGGCCUUUAUGUCUGGGGCUACACACGUUCUACAAUGGCUGGUACAGAAGGCAGCAAAGCCGUAAGGUGGAGCAAAUCCGUAAAGCCAGUCUCAGUUCAGAUUGUGGUCUGCAACUCGACCACAUGAAGCUGGAAUUGCUAGUAAUGACGUGUCAGCAACAACGUCGUGAAUACGUUCCCGGGCCUUGUACACACCGGUACUA
Molecule: ribosomal RNA, 443 nt
Filed under: uncultured bacterium
Lineage: Bacteria
Description: bacterial SSU rRNA
Rfam family: Bacterial small subunit ribosomal RNA
Source: RNAcentral